Molecule: ribosomal RNA, 492 nt
Filed under: uncultured bacterium
Lineage: Bacteria
Description: partial 16S ribosomal RNA
Rfam family: Bacterial small subunit ribosomal RNA
Source: RNAcentral
AGUGAACGCUGGCGGUAGGCCUAACACAUGCAAGUCGAACGGCAGCACAGUAAGAGCUUGCUCUUACGGGUGGCGAGUGGCGGACGGGUGAGGAAUACAUCGGAAUCUACUUUUUCGUGGGGGAUAACGUAGGGAAACUUACGCUAAUACCGCAUACGACCUACGGGUGAAAGCAGGGGAUCUUCGGACCUUGCGCGAUUGAAUGAGCCGAUGUCGGAUUAGCUAGUUGGCGGGGUAAAGGCCCACCAAGGCGACGAUCCGUAGCUGGUCUGAGAGGAUGAUCAGCGACACUGGAGCUGAGACACGGUCCAGACUCCUACGGGAGGCAGCAGUGGGGAAUAUUGGACAAUGGGCGCAAGCCUGAUCCAGCCAUACCGCGUGGGUGAAGAAGGCCUUCGGGUUGUAAAGCCCUUUUGUUGGGAAAGAAAAGCAGCAGGUUAAUACCCCGCUGUUCUGACGGUACCCAAAGAAUAAGCACCGGCUAACUUCGUG